Molecule: ribosomal RNA, 454 nt
Filed under: uncultured bacterium
Lineage: Bacteria
Description: partial 16S ribosomal RNA
Rfam family: Bacterial small subunit ribosomal RNA
Source: RNAcentral
GAUGAACGCUGACAGAAUGCUUAACACAUGCAAGUCGACUUGAACUUCGGUUUGGGUGGCGGACGGGUGAGUAACGCGUAAAGAACUUGCCUCACAGAUAGGGACAACAUUUGGAAACGAAUGCUAAUACCUGAUAUUAUGAUUAUAUGGCAUCGUAUAAUUAUGAAAGCUAUAUGCGCUGUGAGAGGGCUUUGCGUCCCAUUAGCUAGUUGGAGAGGUAACGGCUCACCAAGGCGAUGAUGGGUAGCCGGCCUGAGAGGGUGAUCGGCCACAAGGGGACUGGGACACGGCCCUUACUCCUACGGGAGGCAGCAGUGGGGAAUAUUGGACAAUGGACCAAGAGUCUGAUCCAGCAAUUCUGUGUGCACGAUGAAGUUUUUCGGAAUGUAAAGUGCUUUCAGUUGAGAAGAAAAAAAUGACGGUACCAACAGAAGAAGUGACGGCUAAAUACGUG